This 582-nucleotide ribosomal RNA is filed under the name uncultured bacterium. RNAcentral's name for it is "partial 16S ribosomal RNA". It matches the Rfam family "Bacterial small subunit ribosomal RNA", at positions 355 to 932 of the family's 1533-position model. The record is from RNAcentral.
UGGGGAAUUUUGGACAAUGGGCGAAAGCCUGAUCCAGCAAUGCCGCGUGUGUGAAGAAGGCCUUCGGGUUGUAAAGCACUUUUGUCCGGAAAGAAAUCCUUGGCUCUAAUACAGUCGGGGGAUGACGGUACCGGAAGAAUAAGCACCGGCUAACUACGUGCCAGCAGCCGCGGUAAUACGUAGGGUGCAAGCGUUAAUCGGAAUUACUGGGCGUAAAGCGUGCGCAGGCGGUUUGCUAAGACCGAUGUGAAAUCCCCGGGCUCAACCUGGGAACUGCAUUGGUGACUGGCAGGCUAGAGUAUGGCAGAGGGGGGUUAGAAUUCCACGUGUAGCAGUGAAAUGCGUAGAGAUGUGGAGGAAUACCGAUGGCGAAGGCAGCCCCCUGGGCCAAUACUGACGCUCAUGCACGAAAGCGUGGGGAGCAAACAGGAUUAGAUACCCUGGUAGUCCACGCCCUAAACGAUGUCAACUAGUUGUUGGGGGAUUCAUUUUCCUUAGUAACGUAGCUAACGCGUGAAGUUGACCGCCUGGGGAGUACGGUCGCAAGAUUAAAACUCAAAGGAAUUGACGGGGUCAUAGCUG